This 253-nucleotide ribosomal RNA is filed under the name uncultured bacterium. RNAcentral describes it as "partial 16S ribosomal RNA". It matches the Rfam family "Bacterial small subunit ribosomal RNA", at positions 524 to 776 of the family's 1533-position model. The record is from RNAcentral.
GACGUAGGGCGCGAGCGUUGUCCGGAUUUAUUGGGCGUAAAGAGCUCGUAGGCGGCUUGUCGCGUCGUUCGUGAAAACCCACGGCUCAACUGUGGGCUUGCGGGCGAUACGGGCAGGCUAGAGUUCGGUAGGGGAGACUGGAAUUCCUGGUGUAGCGGUGAAAUGCGCAGAUAUCAGGAGGAACACCGGUGGCGAAGGCGGGUCUCUGGGCCGAUACUGACGCUGAGGAGCGAAAGUGUGGGGAGCGAACAGG